UUGACGCUGGCGGCAGGCUAACACAUGCAAGUCGAGCGGUAGAGAGAAGCUUGCUUCUCUUGAGAGCGGCGGACGGGUGAGUAAUGCCUAGGAAUCUGCCUGGUAGUGGGGGAUAACGUUCGGAAACGGACGCUAAUACCGCAUACGUCCUACGGGAGAAAGCAGGGGACCUUCGGGCCUUGCGCUAUCAGAUGAGCCUAGGUCGGAUUAGCUAGUUGGUGAGGUAAUGGCUCACCAAGGCGACGAUCCGUAACUGGUCUGAGAGGAUGAUCAGUCACACUGGAACUGAGACACGGUCCAGACUCCUACGGGAGGCAGCAGUGGGGAAUAUUGGACAAUGGGCGAAAGCCUGAUCCAGCCAUGCCGCGUGUGUGAAGAAGGUCUUCGGAUUGUAAAGCACUUUAAGUUGGGAGGAAGGGCAGUUACCUAAUACGUGAUUGUUUUGACGUUACCGACAGAAUAAGCACCGGCUAACUCU
RNAcentral lists this ribosomal RNA (478 nucleotides) under Pseudomonas fluorescens. RNAcentral describes it as "bacterial SSU rRNA". It matches the Rfam family "Bacterial small subunit ribosomal RNA", at positions 33 to 504 of the family's 1533-position model. The record is from RNAcentral. Lineage: Bacteria; Pseudomonadati; Pseudomonadota; Gammaproteobacteria; Pseudomonadales; Pseudomonadaceae.